RNAcentral lists this ribosomal RNA (326 nucleotides) under uncultured Burkholderia sp. RNAcentral describes it as "bacterial SSU rRNA". It matches the Rfam family "Bacterial small subunit ribosomal RNA", at positions 383 to 707 of the family's 1533-position model. Lineage: Bacteria; Pseudomonadati; Pseudomonadota; Betaproteobacteria; Burkholderiales; Burkholderiaceae. The record is from RNAcentral.
CAGCUGUCAGCAUGCCGCGUGUGUGAGAGGCCUUCGGGUUGUAAAGCACUUUUGUCCGGAAAAAAUCUUGGCUCUAAUACAGUCGGGGGAUGACGGUACCGGAAAAUAAGCACCGGCUAACUACGUGCCAGCAGCCGCGGUAAUACGUAGGGUGCGAGCGUUAAUCGGAAUUACUGGGCGUAAAGCGUGCGCAGGCGGUUUGCUAAGACCGAUGUGAAAUCCCCGGGCUCAACCUGGGAACUGCAUUGGUGACUGGCAGGCUAGAGAUGGCAGAGGGGGGUAGAAUUCCACGUGUAGCAGUGAAAUGCGUAGAGAUGUGGAGGAAU